RNAcentral lists this ribosomal RNA (469 nucleotides) under uncultured bacterium. RNAcentral's name for it is "bacterial SSU rRNA". It matches the Rfam family "Bacterial small subunit ribosomal RNA", at positions 28 to 496 of the family's 1533-position model. The record is from RNAcentral.
GAUGAACGCUAGCGGCAGGCUUAACACAUGCAAGUCGAGGGGUAUAGGGAGCUUGCUUCCUAGAGACCGGCGCACGGGUGCGUAACGCGUAUGCAAUCUACCUUUUGCAGAGGGAUAGCCCAGAGAAAUUUGGAUUAACACCUCAUAGUAUGUGAGAAUGGCAUCAUUUUCACAUUAAAGUCACAACGGCAAAAGAUGAGCAUGCGUCCCAUUAGCUUGUUGGUAAGGUAACGGCUUACCAAGGCAACGAUGGGUAGGGGUCCUGAGAGGGAGAUCCCCCANACUGGUACUGAGACACGGACCAGACUCCUACGGGAGGCAGCAGUGAGGAAUAUUGGACAAAUGGGCGCAAGCCUGAUCCAGCCAUGCCGCGUGCAGGAUGACGGUCCUAUGGAUUGUAAACUGCUUUGUACAGGAAGAAACACUGGUUCGUGAACCAGCUUGACGGUACUGUAAGAAUAAGGAUCGG